UAACACCCUACUUCACUACCUUGUAUUGCCCUGCCAAAUCAAAACCCUACAAAAAUAGCUCGGAGACAAAACAAAAUUUUUUUUUUGAUAAAGCCUAACAUUUUCAAGACCCGAGAAGGGGACCUUCAUCUAAACACCCAAGCAACAAUAUCCGAGGGAGCACUUUCAUCAACUAGAGCCGUACAUCAAGCACCCGCAUCAUCCCUGUUUCAAACCUCAACCACCACAGGAACCUCUCUCUUCCAUAAAUGCCUAAGCCUUCUAUACCUCAUUUAACCAAAAUCCAACACUAAACCCCGAAGAGCCCUAGCCCCAACCAAACCCGUAUCCCAAACUACCUAGUGCAUGCCCCAGGUCUAGGCGCCCGUACCCUUCACCCAUGAGCACGCCCUCAGCUCAACCCCAACCGUACCUCUACACAACACCCAUGUUACCAAGCACAACCCUUGCCCAAGCCCCUUUUGGUUUUCCACAUCGGCACCCUCCGACCCAUCACCUACUUGCACACUCGCACCUAAAAAGCCCCGGACCAGACACCCCCUUUAUCUAAAAAAAAAUCAAAAACAAAAAAAAAAGAGUUGAACGACAAUGGCUUCUUUUGGAUAAUCGGUGAUGGUGGAAACGAAGAUAGAAUAGGGGUGAACAACAUAUAAAAAAUUUGAUAGGAUCGGACAAUGGGAUUGAGACUUUUGGCGAUUUUAAGUUUUAGACUUCCAUUGUAGAUUUGGGACUUUAGAAGCUGAUUUGGGGAAAACAAGGCUCAGAUCUAUGACGAGGAUACCAAAAAAAACCUACGAUCGAAAUUUAAAACCCAAAAGACCAUCGACUAGUGGCGGCGCUGGCAAUAAAGCGGCGACGGUCGUGACGAGGCUGCGCCAGAAACUGGGGCUAGGAGAGCCUA
Molecule: long non-coding RNA, 901 nt
Filed under: Durio zibethinus
Lineage: Eukaryota; Viridiplantae; Streptophyta; Magnoliopsida; Malvales; Malvaceae
Description: long non-coding RNA (DZIB_LNC000860)
Source: RNAcentral